This is a small nucleolar RNA of Suncus etruscus (white-toothed pygmy shrew), 140 nucleotides long. RefSeq annotates it as small nucleolar RNA SNORA48. The transcript has a single exon. The record is from RefSeq and is a predicted model, not a curated record. NCBI's taxonomy places the organism in Eukaryota, Metazoa, Chordata, Mammalia, Eulipotyphla, Soricidae.
UUAUCCUGGCACUGGGCAAAGAGACGCCUCAUUGGUGGUGUUGGUCUUAUAUCAAUCAGGGUUAGAGCAGAUGGUCCUUUGUUCCUCUUAGCUUGGUGCUUGGUUUGGUGGCCAGCCUAUUUCAUGCUUGGGGCACAUUA